This is a long non-coding RNA of Homo sapiens (human), 3188 nucleotides long. Ensembl annotates it as DDX11 antisense RNA 1. Its record names the gene DDX11-AS1. The record is from Ensembl. Lineage: Eukaryota; Metazoa; Chordata; Mammalia; Primates; Hominidae.
GCGCACGCGGGAACUGGGAUCUCAACCCCAGGGCUAGGUGCCUCCUCCCGCUGCUUUCCGCCAGCUGCGGGGUGUGAGAUUAAUCCCCGCCGAUUAGCGCCAGGUGUACUAAGCGCUGGAUGGUUCCCUGACCAGAUGAAACAUCAGCCGAUGUUCUAAUGCCGGUCCCCUGGGCGCUGUCCCCGAGAGGGAAAACCUGUUUUCUGACCCCGGCUCUAGUCGGCCUCUGGAGGUCUGCAGCUGGGUUAUUUUACCUUUGAAACGGACGACACCUGCCCCGUGCACCCCAGCGGCUCCUCCACACGGAGAGAUGGUGUCAGUCAAAGGCCGUCUAGAUGACGAGUUUAUGAAAUUGUUCCUGGCCCGUGCCGGGCACGACCUUGCAGAGAGCCCAGAAGAUGAAACCCCAGCCCUGCCAGGAGCUCACCUGCUAAUUAGGAGGACAACGAAUCACCUCACCUCCCUAGACUUUGCUUCUCCUUUAUUCAGUGAGGGAUUGGACUAGCUGGUCCUUGAGGACUUUUCAGAAAGUCUGGUUCUGGGAGAUGACCAAUGGGAUCAUCUUAUGCUAUGAGCUUUCCUGGAAUGACAGGAAUCUCACAUCUUCUGCCAGCAUCCUGAAACUAUGGCAGACUCACUUGUUAACUUUGCAAAUAAGGUCAAAUUUCAGAACCUUCACAGCUCCUGAUAGUCACCGUGUAAUAGAAGAUUAAAAGACAAGCUCAGCUCUUGUUCCAGUCAGCCUCAUUCCUCUGCCUACAAUACAAAAGUCACUCAAUCAUAUUCUUGUCUUAAAUUGAACAGUCCUUACAUGGUUAAGAAAAGGAGAAAUUCAUUGUAAGGAAUGUUUACAUUUUGUUUAUAAUUCCUGCAAGUGUAAUGUUUCAAAAGGUUUUCCUGUGGCUGAAGUACAUUUACCCUGUGUAGCUCUAGAGAAAUGAACUUACAAACUGAAAAAUUUCAGCUCAGUAUAUAAAGAAAAACAGAUUUUCACAAUUAGAUCUAUCCCAAAGAGAAUAAAUUUUGAGGUGAUAAGCUCACUGCUGGCUUAGAUCAUCACUUAUGGGACCUCUAAUGGGGCAGGGAUCAGACUAGAUGUGUACAAAGAUCUCUUCCAACUGAAGCUGCUACUGUGGAGGACGUUGUUUUCAGUGGACUCUCUAAUCAGAUUUAUUUUCAUACCAAGAAAUGAAGAAGGUGAGCUGGGGGAUGCAGCUGGGACUCAGAAGACUGCACGUGAUAGACUCAUGAGCUGAAGAUCUCGUGCUUAGUCUGGAGAAGCUCAUCAAGUCUAGCUCACUUUGGAGUAAGUUGGUGCUGGAGAAUGAAUUCAUGCUAACCAAAUUCACCAAGAGCCUGAUUUACAAAUGAGAGAGCCAAGGCCUUAAGUUUAGAGCAAAAGACAAACUUCCAAUGACUUUAGUUUUCUUGUCCAAUAUCUAGGGCACCUUCCCCUCUCCACCUGCUGUGUACACAGGAGAAAUAAUCACUCCACACCCGACUGAACAUUUUCUAACCUUAUCACUGUGGCAGAAACUGGCUACUCUUCCUCCUGGGUAGACAGCCAGGCUGUAUUUCCCCGCUGCCCCUGCAGUGAGAGGUAGCCAUUGGAGCCGGCGCAGGCCAAUGGACUCUGCACUGGAGUGACACAUGCUGCUUCCAGGCCUGUCCCUCAAACCUCCCACAUGUCCUCUGUCUGCUCUUCUCACUUCCAAGGAGUGUGACCAUCGUGGAAGCCCCAGGUUAGCAAUGGCAGAUUGGGAGGCAUCGAUGGGAGGAACCUGGGUCCCUGACUUAAAGCAUCAUGGAUUUGGACUUUCCGUUAUUGAGAAAUAAACUUCCAUUGUGUUUAAGCCUUUAUUUGAUUGUUUAUAGUUUGUUAUAGGAACUGCCAUCUUUUCAUUAAAACACUGAUGCUGCCUCCUGUCCCUGGAAUGCUUGUAACCCUGCCCUGCUUCCCCAGGGUAACCCCCACUUGGCCUUUAAGUUCAUCUCUGCCGUCACACCCUCCAGGAAGCCUUCUCUGAGCACCCCAAUCCCUCCACCAACGGUUUGGUGUCUCCAGCAGAAGCUGCACAGCUGCCCUCUGCCUGCCCUCUCCUUCCUCCUGUUAGAAUCCCAAGACUCCCAUGCAGCUAGAAGCACUCGUGUGAUCCAGUGCCGGUCAAUAAGAUGUAAGAGGAAGCAGCUGGGCAGAGAUUCUUAGGAAUCUCCUUUUAAAAAGGAAGAGAUUGGCCUCAUUUCUGCCUUUUACCCUUUUUCUAUGUGCUUGCCUACUUCCUGCCUGGGACUCCUAUGCAGCACCUGCGAAUGGGGACACAUAUUACAACUCUUAGGCUGAAACCCACGUGCUCAGGCAGAGUAGAAGGAAGUCCUGGGUUCCUGAAGGCAUCAUGGAGCCACCAUGUCCGCCCUGGGCUACCGACCUCCUUUCUCCUGUUGUGUGGAGAAUAUGAACCCCGGUGCUUGAGCCCUGUGGUCGGGUUUCUUUUGGGCACAGCUGAAAGUAAUCUUAACUAGACGAGCUCCUCUGUGAGUGCUCCCAGGCACCUGGCUGCCCUCCGCGGUGCCUAUCGAAACACGCAUCGCACUCGCAUCAUCUGGUUAUGUGUCUGUUUCCCUGGCUUGUUGAAGGCACGGGGCAAGCACUCAAUAACUGUGGUGACAGGGACGUUGCUGUGUCUCCUCAUCCUGGACCUGAGGAAAGGAAAGGUUUCCCUGGAGCACACAGAAAAUCCCAGUGGCAUCCCCGCCCCAUCUCCUCUAUCAGUGGAGCAUCAGCUCUGCGAUCACUGAAGUCUUUCAGGCUCUCACUUCCUCUGAUUCCACCUCAUAGCCAGUAAAUGUCCACACCAAGGAGGAUAUGAAAGUACGAAACAUAGCCCUGGUCCUUCCAUCGAGGAAGUCAAGGAAUGCAUGCAGGACGACAACUAGCACUUGCACUGCACUUCUUAUGCCCCAGGUGAAAUGCACAUAAAAUUGACCAUUUUAAAGUGAACAAUCAGUGGCAUUUAGUACAUUCACAAUGUUGUCCCACCACUCCCUCUCUGUAGUUCCAAAACAUUUUCAUCAUCCCAAAAUGAAAACUUGUACCCAUGAAGUAGCCACUUCCCAUUCUCCCCUCCACUCGGCCCCUGGAAAACACCAAUCUGCUUUCUGUUUCCAUAGAUUUACCUAGUCUGGAUAUU